GACGAACGCUGGCGGCGUGCUUAACACAUGCAAGUCGAACGGAAAGGCCCUGCUUUUGUGGGGUGCUCGAGUGGCGAACGGGUGAGUAACACGUGAGUAACCUGCCCUUGACUUUGGGAUAACUUCAGGAAACUGGGGCUAAUACCGGAUAGGAGCUCCUGCUGCAUGGUGGGGGUUGGAAAGUUUCGGCGGUUGGGGAUGGACUCGCGGCUUAUCAGCUUGUUGGUGGGGUAGUGGCUUACCAAGGCUUUGACGGGUAGCCGGCCUGAGAGGGUGACCGGCCACAUUGGGACUGAGAUACGGCCCAGACUCCUACGGGAGGCAGCAGUGGGGAAUAUUGCACAAUGGGCGGAAGCCUGAUGCAGCAAAGCCGCGUGCGGGAUGACGGCCUUCGGGUUGUAAACCGAUUUCGCCUGUGACGAAGAGUGAGUGACGGUAAUGGGUAAAGAAGCACCGGCUAACUACGUG
Molecule: ribosomal RNA, 468 nt
Filed under: uncultured bacterium
Lineage: Bacteria
Description: partial 16S ribosomal RNA
Rfam family: Bacterial small subunit ribosomal RNA
Source: RNAcentral